RNAcentral lists this ribosomal RNA (449 nucleotides) under uncultured bacterium. RNAcentral's name for it is "bacterial SSU rRNA". It matches the Rfam family "Bacterial small subunit ribosomal RNA", at positions 354 to 796 of the family's 1533-position model. The record is from RNAcentral.
GUCGAGAAUCUUUCACAAUGGGGGCAACCCUGAUGGAGCGACGCCGCGUGGAGGAUAAGGUCUUCGGAUUGUAAACUCCUGUCAUGCGAGAACAAGGUUGCAGGGCUAACACCGCUGCAAAUUGAUGGUACCGCAAGAGGAAGAGACGGCUAACUCUGUGCCAGCAGCCGCGGUAAUACAGAGGUCUCAAGCGUUGUUCGGAAUCACUGGGCGUAAAGGGUGCGUAGGCUGCGCCGUAAGUCAGAUGUGAAAGCCCGGGGCUCAACCCCGGAAUUGCAUCCGAUACUGCGGUGCUCGAGUGCUGGAGAGGAGGCUAGAAUUCACGGUGUAGCAGUGAAAUGCGUAGAUAUCGUGAGGAAUACCAAAGGCGUAGGCAGGCCUCUGGACAGCAACUGACGCUGAGGCACGAAGGCCAGGGUAGCGAACGGGAUUAGAAACCCGUGUAGUCC